UCAAGCAUCCUAUUUAGAGGAUGUAAAUUAUCAAUAUCUAAAGCUUCCUAAUAUACAAAUUCUGCUGGAUUGUGUGGAGUUCAGGAGUACAUCGAGGAGACUGCAAAAAUGGCUAAAAAGAGGCUCUUACUGUUGGUUUUAAUGCUACUGAUUAUGAGCUCUUGCUUGACAAAAUCCCAGGGGCCAUAUCCACCUCAAAUGGCCGAAAAGCUCAAUCUUGAGCAUGAGGAAGGGCAGCAGAAAACGGUAACGGAAACUUCAUAUCCUGAUUCUGAGGAUGGUCAACCUCACCACCGAUAUCCCGCACCAGCUGCCCUACAUAAGUAAUGAACUCUGGAAGGUGGUGACGAUAUCACUCCAAACCAAAUGUAUAUAACUAGCUUCCGCAAAUGUGUGUGUGUGUGUGUGUGGCGUGCACAUGUAGUGCUUUAAUGAAAUAUGUAUACCAUGAUAUGAUAAAUAAAACUGUGGUUUGGCUGUA
Molecule: long non-coding RNA, 481 nt
Organism: Olea europaea var. sylvestris
Lineage: Eukaryota; Viridiplantae; Streptophyta; Magnoliopsida; Lamiales; Oleaceae
Exons: 2
Source: RefSeq, a predicted model, not a curated record